Molecule: unclassified non-coding RNA, 249 nt
Filed under: Hevea brasiliensis (rubber tree)
Lineage: Eukaryota; Viridiplantae; Streptophyta; Magnoliopsida; Malpighiales; Euphorbiaceae
Source: RNAcentral
CUAAAGAAGAAGAAGAAGAAGAAGCAGCACAUUUUGAAGGGAUAGGGCACUUUGGAAACAAAAAGAGCGAAAUGAGCGAAACAGAGAAGAACCCACUGUUUGAAAUUUGAAGAGACAGAGACUAAGAAAGAUGGAAAGAACGGAAAAAGGAGUGGAGAGAGAAGGGAAAGGCAAAAAGCAACAAGAAUUGGAGGGUAGAACUAGAAAAAAGUUCAAACGCGGGAUUAUACUGGUAGGGAAAAGAGGAGG